Molecule: long non-coding RNA, 1806 nt
Organism: Rosa chinensis
Lineage: Eukaryota; Viridiplantae; Streptophyta; Magnoliopsida; Rosales; Rosaceae
Exons: 2
Source: RefSeq, a predicted model, not a curated record
UUAAAGAGAUAAUAUGAUUAUUCACGACAUGCAUAACACAAAAUAAAGAAUACGUCCAUUUAUUUGCAUGUGUCUUUAGUAAUAUUCUGUGAGCAGGAUCGUUUUUAGAAAUGGAAGGAUAGCAUCAGUACUUCAGUAGUCAUGAACAUGCUGUAGUGCAAUUUUUCUUACAUUUGAAUCUCCACAUUGAUUUCCUGUUGAGGUAGGCUGUUUGGGUUAUCAUGUCUUCUUCCAGUAUCACAAUUACUAUGUUGAUAAUCCCGAAAGAUAAGUGGGUAUGGGAAGUCAUCCGCUUUAGAAGAUGGUGAGACCUUGGUUAGGCAUUAAACAAAUUAUAGAAUCCAAGUCUCUGUCAUUGAACAAAACUCAAAAGCUAUUUGCAACUUUAAUUUAUAGCAUUCAUAGUUUACGCUUUUUCUAAAAAAUCAUUUCUUGAUCCAUUUUGCAAAGUUUUACUGAAUCUAUCUCUUUGUUGUUUGGGUCGUUGGGCAUUAAUCAAUAUGAAGUUAUUUUGUUGUCAGUUAUUUUUUUUAAUUGUAAUUUGUGUUUAAAGUUCAUAGUGGGUGAGAGGAAUUGCUACCUGAACCAAUGUUUUUAGAUAAGAAAAGAUAAUCUAUUUGCUCAUAAUAUUUGAACCAAUGUUGAACCAAUGAAGGAUAUUGAUGAAAUCCUGAAACAAGUCUGAACUUGGAAGUACUCAUUGGAGAUUGGACUCAAUUGAUGCUUGAUCUUGGAAGUUCCACUUACAAUUAUGCUACCUAUGUAUUGCAGAAUCGGAUUGUAGGACUUUCACACCCAUUCUUUGGUUGAGAUUGUUAGAAUCAGAAAAAUUUGGACUCUGAAAUACCCAUUUUAGUGAUUGGAAACGCUGGAAAGUUGUAAGUGGAAAUGUUAUCAGGACACCACCAUCGGGAAGCUUAAAUAUAGAGGCAGACUUGUCAGUCUUCUUUAUUAUGAAGUUGAAACUAGGGAAUGGGAAGGGGAAUUGAGGAAUGCAAAACCUCUAUUUUUUCUGUUUUGGAGACUUAAUGGUUAACUGUAUGCAGGUGAAAUAUGAAGUAGGACGCUUCUUCAACUUACAACAGCAAGAGAGAGGCUUUGAAGCUGUCAAUAAAUGGUAUUGGAUAUAAAAAUAAUAAGUUUUUAUCAAAAAGUACUGAGGGGAAUAUGCGAAGCAUCACUGCCAGCAGAAGUUAUAAAGGAUUGAUUAUUUCUUUAACCAAGUCUUGUGUUCAAAAACUGACCUUACUACUGGUACUUGAAAAGAGUCCAGUUGCAUGAGACACAACUUUCUUUUUUCUUUCAUCUGGUCAUUAUUAGUGUAUUAACUGUGUAUAAUUUUAACUCUCUACAUUAAUGGAAUGACACCCCUUUAUCAAAACAAUAAAAGUAAAAAUGGAAAUAAAAACUUAUGCCCACGGUUGCUAACGGUGGCGGCGCUAAAGUCAGUCUGCUUCUAGGGUGGCUAGGGUUUGCUUCAUGCCCUAGGGUUAUCGUUGGGCUUCAGUGUAGGCUUCGUAGCCCACUCUUGCUUUAUUUUUAGUUUUUUAUUUUUUAUUUUUUCCUUUCGUUGUACUUUAAUUAUGGAACGGAGCUUGGUAGGGAAGGUUUAGGGCCCAUAUGAGGUAGUCUUUUGAGUAUUUCCCUUCUCUUUUCCCUCCCGUCAGGGCGUGCUGUGUUUGUCAGUACAGAGUUAUGUUUAGGUUCUCAUUUUAAUAGGGCCACACACGUGGCGGGUUCCUUUGUAACUUUGUUGGCCGAAGUAAUGAAAGUGUUCACGUUUCUCCUCAAAAAAAAAAAAAAAAA